CUUCAUGUAUGAAGAGCUACCUAUUCCUGUUUUCUUCAUUUAUGUAGGUAUGCAUAUGACUGAAGAUGACUAAACAGGACAUUCUUCAGUUAUACUUAUACAGAAAGGAGUUCCGGCCUAUACUGCUCCACAACCAGAAGAGGCAAUGACUGCUCUCAAACAAAGAGCUUCGGAGUUGGGUAUCUCUCUCCAAGUCGUUG
Zea mays is the source of this 200-nucleotide long non-coding RNA. RefSeq lists it as uncharacterized. Lineage: Eukaryota; Viridiplantae; Streptophyta; Magnoliopsida; Poales; Poaceae. The transcript has 3 exons. The record is from RefSeq and is a predicted model, not a curated record.